UUGGUCAGGCGGGUCUUGAACUCCUAACCUCAAGUGAUCCACCCGCCUCAGCCUCCCAAAGUGCUGAGAUUACAGGCACCGUGCCCAGCCCAGGAGUGGGUUCCUAAUUAAAGGAUGAGUUUGGUCCCCUUUCCCUCUCACUCUCACAUGUGAUCUCUUGCCCUUCUGUCUUCUGCUGUUAGAUGACGUAGGACAAAGGCCCUCACCAGAUACUGGUGCCAUGCUCUUGGACUUCCCAGUGCCCAGAAACAUGAAGCUUCUAUUGAUAAAUUACCUGGUUUGUGGUAAUCUGUUAUAGCAGCAGGGAACAGACAAAGACACACUCUAUAGUUCUAACCAAUGAGGACAUCUUAUAUGACCUCAACACCAUUAUCACACCCAAUGAAAUAAGUGGUUCCUUGGUAUUAAGAUAAUAGUCAAAAUUCUGUAAUUGUCUCAAAAAUAUCUUUUUACCUCUGGUCUAUUUGAACCAAAAUUCAAGCUAAGUCCACACAUAAUGUUUGGUUGUUAAUCUGCUCUGUUUCUCUUAGUCUCGUAUUCCCUACACAGGCACACUUUGGUAUCAAAGAACACACCAGGAAAGGCCAUCUCUGCCUGUGAGGGGUGAUCAUUGUCAUUGAAAGUGACCCUAGACCUAUCAACCAAAUGUAAUGUGUUGAAUAUUGAUUUUAAUACAUGAGUUGUAAAGUAACAUUUUUGGAGGCAAUCUAAGAAAAUAGAGCAUAACUGGUAAAUUGGUAUAUAAAGGAGUAAUUGUUAAUUUUGUUGACUGUGAUUUGUUGGGUCUUGUGGUUACAUUUAAAAUACCCUUAUCUGUUGGUGGUGUAUACUAUUUCUAGAUGAAACAAUAUUGCUGGAAACAGAUACUCAGUGCCACAAAGAAAAAUCAGCACUGAGACAAAGGAUCUUUCAGCAACGCAAUUUUUACUUCCUGGACUGCAGGAAGGGUACUCUCACUAGCCAUCUUGCCACCAGAGUACAAUGAACGAAGGAAAAGCAGUCAUAUUUAUCCCUAUGCAUUUGGGGUCGUCCUUACUGCUGUGUCUGAUCUCCGUUGGCUGGAGCCAGACCUCACAAUUUAAACUAAAACCUGAUUGGCUAACAACUUAAAACUUUUUUAGACAGGUAAUGGGCAUAGGCUGCCAGCUGGGACCUGCCUGUGAGCACAUCCAGCACAGAUAUCUUGUUAAACUUAUCUUUGGAAUACUGUUAUAGUAGUUUGAUGCAAAAGUAAUUGUGGUUUUUGCCGUUGCUUUCAAUUUCAACUAAUACUCCUCUACUUUUUCUUGU
Sapajus apella (tufted capuchin) is the source of this 1290-nucleotide long non-coding RNA. RefSeq lists it as uncharacterized. Lineage: Eukaryota; Metazoa; Chordata; Mammalia; Primates; Cebidae. The record is from RefSeq and is a predicted model, not a curated record. The transcript is spliced from 3 exons.